UUAAUCUACAGAAGAAAGAGUGCGGUUAUCAUAGUGUUGAGGUUAAGAGAUGAGGCCCGCGGUGUUAAUACCAGUGAGUGAUAGAGCAGUGAGCGCUGAGCGGUGUUUGAGCGCAGGUGUGUGUUUGGGUCGCUCGGUGGGGCUGGUGGCGGGUCGACGCCUCAGUGUUCAACUGACCAUUGUCGGGUGAAGGCUGUUGCCGCUGUCUAUCGUACUCUUAACUGUAAAUGCAAGUUUACCAUAUGUUUGACUAGUCUCUAAAUAUACUUUAUUAUAUACCGCCGUUAGAGUACAUUAAUUUACAAGAGCUUAUAUGUUGACUAGAUAAUUACAAUACUGUGUUUCUUUGAGGAACCUGAAAUUUUCAAAUAAUUACCAAGCGAAUAACCAUUUACACCUCAAUAAGCUGCGUAAAAUCCAUAGUUGUGGCUGAGGAAAGUGGUAAGAAAUACGACAUAAGGAGCGAGCUUGUCGCUCACACCAGCGGUGAAGACAAUCAUCUAUUCACCCCAGGACGACCGGCCAAUUACUCCAUUUCAGGAAUGCAGAAGAAAAAUGUUUCAUCAGUGAAGAGCAGCUGUCAGGUUUAAGCGGUAGGACUACCAUGAACUUAUCAGAAGAACUUAGGUACUGCAGCAAGUUGUGACGUGUGAUUAACUCUCAAGAUGACCUCCCGUGACCAAGAUGGGGAUGAGAACGGGGACCUCGGCUUCACCAACCCCGAGUAUGCCCCGUCCAAUGGCACCGACAGCCCGCCCACUAACCGCUACCCUAAUUUAGAUGAUUUGGACGUGCAGUCCCUACGCAGCACCUCCUGCAGGAGCGGUGACACGGCCGCCACCCUCCCCGUCAGCCCCCGGAACGCAUACAAGCUACGUGAGUACUACCAAACAAAAGGUUAUCAUGACACGGGAUGGAAGGGAAAAUGAGACAUUUUGAUUGUUGCCGCCGGAGGCGGCUAGUUUAUUGUGCACCCCAUACCCAUCCUGUGAGCGGUAGCGCAAAAAGCAUCACAGAGGGCACAAAAGGUCUUUAUCUGACCUCAUCUUAGAUUAUUACAUAAACAAUUUCAUCUAUCCUUCACACCUUAUAGUUACAAUGUCAGCUAGUUACAGAGAAAGUAGAUACGGAGAUGUUCAUAUUUCUCUUUAGAAUGGACUCUAGGCCUAUAACAAAAUAAGGUCUUUUUUUUGUUAUAGGUAAUAUUUUAUAUUUUUUAAAGAAACUUUGAGUUCGUCCGAAUACAUUUUAGUUUUUAUUUUAGAAGAAUUGCAGCAAUCUAGGGGUGUCUAUAGUUUUUAGUUGUAAAAUUGGACGUAUUUGCUAUAAUACGCAGUUUAAUCCUUUUGUUGUUGAGUCAAUGUGCACUUUUUUGUUCGCAGAACUAGAAAAUUACUUUUCCCCCUCCAAAAUAGCGCUAUAAUGUUUGUUCACCGCCAAGUCAUCUGAGAAGGCGCCGCGUUUAGCAACAAAUGGAUGUUUGUGGUCGAUAGCCACGCAAAGACUAAUUGUAAACAUCUUAAUUAUGGCCACGGCAGACACGGGCUGCCCUAGCCAUAAUUCUUUGUUCGUUCUUUCUCCCUCUCCUCCCCUCCCUAAUCCUUCCUCCCUUUCCUUCCCUCAUAAUCCUUCCUCCCUCUCCUCUCUCCCUAAUCCUUCCUUCUUUCUCCUCUCCCCCCUAAUC
Procambarus clarkii (red swamp crayfish) is the source of this 1684-nucleotide non-coding RNA. NCBI's taxonomy places the organism in Eukaryota, Metazoa, Arthropoda, Malacostraca, Decapoda, Cambaridae. The record is from RefSeq and is a predicted model, not a curated record.